Molecule: ribosomal RNA, 446 nt
Filed under: uncultured bacterium
Lineage: Bacteria
Description: bacterial SSU rRNA
Rfam family: Bacterial small subunit ribosomal RNA
Source: RNAcentral
GGCCAGACUCCUACGGGAGGCAGCAGUGGGGGAUAUUGCACAAUGGGGGAAACCCUGAUGCAGCGACGCCGCGUGUGGGGAGACGGUCCCCUGGAUUGUAAACCACUGUCCCCAGGGACGAAGAUGACGGUACCUGGGGAGGAAGCUCCGGCUAACUACGUGCCAGCAGCCGCGGUAAUACGUAGGGAGCGAGCGUUGGCAGGAAUUACUGGGUGUAAAGGGAGCGUAGGCGGGGAUGCAAGUUGGGUGUUAAAUCUGCCGGCUCAACUGGUAGUCGCACUCAAAACUGCAGCUCUUGAGUGAAGUAGAGGCAGGCGGAAUUCCUAGUGUAGCGGUGAAAUGCGUAGAUAUUAGGAGGAACACCAGUGGCGAAGGCGGCCUGCUGGGCUUUUACUGACGCUGAGGCUCGAAAGUGUGGGGAGCAAACAGGAUUAGAUCCCCCGGUA